Long non-coding RNA from Balaenoptera musculus (blue whale), 1794 nucleotides. RefSeq lists it as uncharacterized. NCBI's taxonomy places the organism in Eukaryota, Metazoa, Chordata, Mammalia, Artiodactyla, Balaenopteridae. The record is from RefSeq and is a predicted model, not a curated record. The transcript has 4 exons.
GAGUUUAAGGUCAAGCCAACUUUGAGAAAUUUCCUCUUGAUUGGAAAAUAAGACUCGUAAGGUCAGAUGAGCUUUUCUCUUUUGACUAUGAAGAAGAGAGUAUUUAGAGACUGGAAGUUAAAACUUUUCCGGAGACCAAGAGGGCAGUUGUAGCAUUUCCUAAACUCAUAGCAAUUGUGUUUCAUACAGCUAAGUAUUAUCAGCUCCUUGCAGGUAGAGGAUGUUUGACACAUCUUAGCAUCUCCGAGUGCUAGAAGAAUAGAGCUGACCGUAAGGAUCAGGUGAGGAAACUGAAGCACAAGCUACACAGCUCCAGUGAGAAGCAGAGCUGGAACUGAUUCCACUUGGCUGAUUACCCAGGUCAGCUAGAUCCUACCCUCGUAUCCUGCAGUGCUUGCUUUCAGUGAACAGAAUAUCUACAGUAUUGUUUGAAUACUCAAGACCUGGGGGGCCCCACCAUCUGAUAUCUGAAAACAGACUUCCUGUGAAGCAGGAGUGAUGGUUUCCUGAGAACAAGUGCUUCACUAUCAAGACAUGGAAAGAUAGCACUCGGCUGCUAGUAACAAAUUGCACCAAAGUUACAAAUGCAGGCCAAGCCUUGGUAAAUAUUAAUGAUGAUGAUGAUUUUGUGACAUACUGAAAAUGUCAGAUUUUAGCAUUAUAAGCGUACUGUAGAUACUAGAAUGUAAUUGAACCAAAAUGAUGCUCGAGAGAAAUUUUGAAGUAAAUGUGCAAAUUAGGCUACCUAGUAUAAACUAGAAGUGCCUAAGUCAUUCUGUUCCUUAGUAAAGCACAACCAAGUAAGCCUUUUUUUUUUUGGCUGCUCUGCGUGGCAUGUGGAAUCUUAGUUCCCUGACCAGGGAUCGAACCCGUGCCCCCUGCAGUGGAAGCGUGGAGUCUUAACCACUGGACCACCAGGGAAGUCUCCCAGCAUGUAAGCCAUUUAUGCAGCAGAGCAUUUGUUUUUAGCUUCUGAGAUCUAUUUGGGUCGUCUACAACUGGUGGCAUGGAAAGGAAAAGAAGGCUGCAAAGACUGAACAAACAGCAUGCACUGUGGUAGCCUUUAUUUAAAAAUUGUGAGCUAACUACAGUUGUAGUGUUCUCAUUUACCAUUCUGAUGGCAUAAUAAACUGGGAGAACAUUAACACAACUUCAAGAAGGCAUCAAAAAACCUGUAAACAAACAUACACACCACGCAUGCGCGCACAUAUACAGCAUACAUGCACACAAAGAUUAUAGUCUAAACACAAUCAAAAGUGAUGAAGAAAAGCUUUGAAUGCUCUAAAUCAAAUUUAAAACACUUUAUUAUAAUAAACUGUGGCAAUACUGUGGCUAUAUGAAAAAUGUUGUAACUAACUGCUUAAAAAGCAAAAAGGAAAAUACUGGCAAUUUGAAACUAGCAGCAAGAAGCAGAUAAAAAUAGAAUGGAAGAUAACAUAAGACUAAGUAACAUCAAAAUUCUAAUGUUGAUACUGUGUAGGAUUGCACUGAAGUAAUUUAAAAUUGGUUCUUAAGGAACUCUCAGAAAGUCCCUUGAAAUAUUAAACUGCUGCGCUUUACAAACAGCGGAAAAGAAAAAAGUAUUUGGAAUGUUACACACACACAGAGGAAAUGUAUUAGGCAUAUCAGUUUAUGGUCUUUGUUUAUGCCCUUCAAAAAGCUUUAUAAAGAAAAAUUUAAGUGCCAAUGUAGUGAAAGAAAGUUAAAAAUUCCUAAAGAUGCAAGUCUGAGUGCAUUUAUCAGGUUAAGAAUAUAUUUCAAGGUUGGGGGGCAAGGCAUGAUUGAUGCACAUUC